Saccostrea cuccullata (small rock oyster) is the source of this 233-nucleotide long non-coding RNA. RefSeq lists it as uncharacterized. The transcript has 3 exons. The record is from RefSeq and is a predicted model, not a curated record. Lineage: Eukaryota; Metazoa; Mollusca; Bivalvia; Ostreida; Ostreidae.
UAAUUUUCUUUUGAUUCAGGAAUUGUGUGAAAAACUUCCAGAAGAGGAAAAAUUUACCCCAAGAAGUUUGGUUUCCAUGGUAAAAAACCUUGGAUGUCAGUUAGGAAUGGUGGUAGAUCUUACAUUCACGACAAAAUACUACAGUGCACGGGAUAUGGAACACCAGGGUAUCAGAUAUGAAAAGAUUUUUACAGAGGGCCAUAAUGUUCCGAGUGAUGAUGUAGUAUACAGGU